This 253-nucleotide ribosomal RNA is filed under the name uncultured bacterium. RNAcentral's name for it is "partial 16S ribosomal RNA". It matches the Rfam family "Bacterial small subunit ribosomal RNA", at positions 524 to 776 of the family's 1533-position model. The record is from RNAcentral.
UACGUAGGGGGCUAGCGUUGUCCGGAAUCAUUGGGCGUAAAGAGCGUGUAGGCGGCCCGGUAAGUCCGCUGUGAAAGUCGGGGGCUCAACCCUCGAAUGCCGGUGGAUACUGUCGGGCUAGAGUGCGGAAGAGGCGAGUGGAAUUCCUGGUGUAGCGGUGAAAUGCGCAGAUAUCAGGAGGAACACCGAUGGCGAAGGCGGUUCUCCGGGCCUUACCUGACGCUGAGGAGCGAAAGCGUGGGGAGCGAACAGG